This is a ribosomal RNA of 477 nucleotides. The stretch from base 180 to 333 matches the Rfam family "5.8S ribosomal RNA".
ACCUGCGGAAGAGAUCAUUACAGAGUUCCUGCCCUCACGGGUAGAAACCCCACCCUUGUGUAUAUUAUAUUUGUUGCUUUGGCAGGUCGCCUUCGGGCCUAGGCUUCGGCUUAGUCGUGCCUGCCAGAGGACCCUAAACUCUGAAUGUUAGUGUCGUCUGAGUACUAUCUAAUAGUUAAAACUUUCAACAACGGAUCUCUUGGUUCUGGCAUCGAUGAAGAACGCAGCGAAAUGCGAUAAGUAAUGUGAAUUGCAGAAUUCAGUGAAUCAUCGAAUCUUUGAACGCACAUUGCGCCCCGUGGUAUUCCGCGGGGCAUGCCUGUUCGAGCGUCAUUAAAAACCUCCUACCUAGUAGGGUCUUGGGCUUCGUCGCCAGACGGGCCUUAAAAUCAGUGGCGGCGUCGGCCGGCCCUAAGCGUAGUAAAUCUCCUCGCUACAGGGUCCGGUGGAUGGCUAGCCAGCAACCCCAACUUUUCA